UUAAAUUGAAGAGUUUGAUCAUGGCUCAGAUUGAACGCUGGCGGCAGGCCUAACACAUGCAAGUCGAACGGUAACAGGAAACAGCUUGCUGUUUCGCUGACGAGUGGCGGACGGGUGAGUAAUGUCUGGGAAACUGCCUGAUGGAGGGGGAUAACUACUGGAAACGGUAGCUAAUACCGCAUAACGUCGCAAGACCAAAGAG
This 202-nucleotide ribosomal RNA is filed under the name Escherichia coli. Its description in RNAcentral is "partial 16S ribosomal RNA". It matches the Rfam family "Bacterial small subunit ribosomal RNA", at positions 1 to 208 of the family's 1533-position model. Lineage: Bacteria; Pseudomonadati; Pseudomonadota; Gammaproteobacteria; Enterobacterales; Enterobacteriaceae. The record is from RNAcentral.